AGUGAACGCUGGCGGUAGGCCUAACACAUGCAAGUCGAACGGCAGCACAGUAAGAGCUUGCUCUUACGGGUGGCGAGUGGCGGACGGGUGAGGAAUACAUCGGAAUCUACUUUUUCGUGGGGGAUAACGUAGGGGAACUUACGCUAAUACCGCAUACGACCUACGGGUGAAAGCAGGGGAUCUUCGGACCUUGCGCGAUUGAAUGAGCCGAUGUCGGAGUAGCUAGUUGGCGGGGUAAAGGCCCACCAAGGCGACGAUCCGUAGCUGGUCUGAGAGGAUGGUCAGCCACACUGGAACUGAGACACGGUCCAGACUCCUACGGGAGGCAGCAGUGGGGAAUAUUGGACAAUGGGCGCAAGCCUGAUCCAGCCAUCCCGCGUGUGUGAAGAAGGCCUUCGGGUUGUAAAGCCCUUUUGUUGGGAAAGAAACGCAGCAGGUUAAUACCACGCGGUUCUGACGGUACCCAAAGAAUAAGCACCGGCUAACUUCGUG
Molecule: ribosomal RNA, 492 nt
Filed under: uncultured bacterium
Lineage: Bacteria
Description: partial 16S ribosomal RNA
Rfam family: Bacterial small subunit ribosomal RNA
Source: RNAcentral